CGCCUUGAAAACGACCCCGCAGCGCUUAUAACGGAAGCGCUGCCUCGGCAGCUAUGAUGGUAGAAGGUUUGGUGUAAUAGGCGCAGCGGACCCGGGGGCGGUACCCGGCGGCUCCACGGAAAGCGACGGUCGUGAUCGCCGUUUUCCGCGGGGCCGAACUAGGAUCGACGUGUGUUGAAAGACCAGAUUGCUGUCCGGCCUGAUUGCGCCGUAAAACCGAUCAUAUCCACAAGUGCCAACGACAACGAAGCACUCGCGAUUGCGGCGUAACUGACGGCCUAACGGCCUGACGUUACACCAAAAAAGCGCGGUCGGACCCCACCGGGCAACAGAAGGGGAUUCCA
Molecule: transfer-messenger RNA, 344 nt
Filed under: Sphingomonas sp. BK235
Lineage: Bacteria; Pseudomonadati; Pseudomonadota; Alphaproteobacteria; Sphingomonadales; Sphingomonadaceae
Description: Alphaproteobacteria transfer-messenger RNA
Rfam family: Alphaproteobacteria transfer-messenger RNA
About the family: Bacterial tmRNA, also known as 10Sa RNA or SsrA, is named for its dual tRNA and mRNA-like properties. Its role is to liberate the mRNA from a stalled ribosome.
Source: RNAcentral